This 496-nucleotide ribosomal RNA is filed under the name uncultured bacterium. RNAcentral's name for it is "partial 16S ribosomal RNA". It matches the Rfam family "Bacterial small subunit ribosomal RNA", at positions 28 to 507 of the family's 1533-position model. The record is from RNAcentral.
GACGAACGCUGGCGGCGUGCCUAAUACAUGCAAGUUGAGCGAUGAAGAUUGGUGCUUGCACCAAUUUGAAGAGCAGCGAACGGGUGAGUAACGCGUGGGGAAUCUGCCUUUGAGCGGGGGACAACAUUUGGAAACGAAUGCUAAUACCGCAUAACAACUUUAAACAUAAGUUUUAAGUUUGAAAGAUGCAAUUGCAUCACUCAAAGAUGAUCCCGCGUUGUAUUGGCUAGUUGGUGAGGUAAAGGCUCACCAAGGCGAUGAUACAUAGCCGACCUGAGAGGACGAUCAGCCACAAUGGGACUGAGACACGGCCCAAACUCCUACGGGAGGCAGCAGUGGGGAAUUUUGGACAAUGGGCGAAAGCCUGACCCAGCAAUGCCGCGUGAAGGAUGAAGGCUUUCGGGUUGUAAAAUGCUUUUGUAAGGAAAGAACGGGGGUCUGGUAAGAAAGGAGGGUCAUGACGGUAAACUAACCAUAAGGACCGGCUAAAUACGUG